UCUGAUGUUCCUAGAACCUAUUAGAAGC
RNAcentral lists this non-coding RNA (28 nucleotides) under Rattus norvegicus (Norway rat). The record is from RNAcentral. Lineage: Eukaryota; Metazoa; Chordata; Mammalia; Rodentia; Muridae.